AGAGUUUGAUCCUGGCUCAGGAUGAACGCUGGCGGCGUGCUUAACACAUGCAAGUCGAACGGGGAUUACACGGAGAUGCGAUUUCGGUCAAAUCAAGUGCAAUCUUAGUGGCGGACGGGUGAGUAACGCGUGGGUAACCUGCCUUGCACUGGGGGAUAACACUUAGAAAUAGGUGCUAAUACCGCAUAAGCGCACGGUCCUGCAUGGGACAGUGUGAAAAACUCCGGUGGUGCAAGAUGGAUCCGCGUCUGAUUAGCUGGUUGGCGGGGUAAAGGCCCACCAAGGCGACGAUCAGUAGUCGGCCUGAUAGGGUGGACGGCCACUUUGGGACUGAGACACGGCCCAAACUCAUACUGGAGGCAGCAGUGGGGGAUAUUGGACAAUCGCGGGAACCCUGAUCCAGCGACGCCGCCUGAGUGAAGAAGUAUUUUGUGUAUGUAAAGCUCUGUCAGCAGGGAAGAAAGCAAUGACGGUACCUGACCAAGAAGCCCCGGCUAACUACGUGCCAGCAGCCGCGGUAAUAAGUAGGGGGCAAGCGUUAUCCGGAAUUACUGGGUGUAAAGGGAGAGCAGGCGGCGUGGCAAGUCAGAUGUGAAAACCCGGGGCCCAACCCCGGGAGUGCAUUUGAAACUGCCAUGCUGGAGUGCCGGAGAGGUAAGCGGAAUUCCUAGUGUAGCGGUGAAAUGCGUAGAUAUUAGGAGGAACACCAGUGGCGGAGGCGGCUUACUCCACCCUAACUUACCCUUAGGCUCCAAANCCUGGGGCCCUUCAAGGUUUUUUNCCCUCCUNNUCCCCCCCCUNANCCCCCCUUAUUGAGUACAGGGGCACAAAAGUGCUUCUGUGCCGCAGCUAACGCAAUAAGUAUUCCACCUGGGGAGUACGUUCGCAAGAAUGAAACUCAAAAGGAAUUGACGGGGACCCGCACAAGCGGUGGAGCAUGUGGUUUAAUUCGAAGCAACGCGAAGAACCUUACCAGCCCUUGACAUCCUGCUGGCAGCCCGGUAAUGCGGGCUUUCCUACGGGACAGCAGAGACAGGUGGUGCAUGGUUGUCGUCAGCUCGUGUCGUGAGAUGUUGGGUUAAGUCCCGCAACGAGCGCAACCCCUGCUUACAGUAGCCAGCAGCAAGGCUGGGCACUCUGUAGGGACUCCCGGGGAUAACCCGGAGGAAGGCGGGGACGACGUCAAAUCAUCAUGCCCCUUAUGGGUUGGGCUACACACGUGCUACAAUGGCGCCAACAGAGUGAGGCGAACCUGCGAGGGGGAGCAAAGCACAAAAAAGGCGUCCCAGUUCGGAUUACAGCCUGCAACCCGGCUGUAUGAAAGCUGGAAUCGACUAGUAAUCGCAGAUCAGAAUGCUGCGGUGAAUACGUUGUCCGGGUCUCGUACUAACCGCCCGUCA
RNAcentral lists this ribosomal RNA (1400 nucleotides) under uncultured bacterium. RNAcentral's name for it is "bacterial SSU rRNA". It matches the Rfam family "Bacterial small subunit ribosomal RNA". The record is from RNAcentral.